UACGUAGGGUGCGAGCGUUAAUCGGAAUUACUGGGCGUAAAGAGUGCGUAGGCGGUUUCUCAAGUCCGCUGUGAAAUCCCCGGGCUCAACCUGGGAAUGGCAGUGGAAACUAGGAGACUUGAAUCUGGCAGAGGGGGGUGGAAUUCCACGUGUAGCAGUGAAAUGCGUAGAGAUGUGGAGGAACACCGAUGGCGAAGGCAGCCCCCUGGGCUGAGAUUGACGCUCAGGCACGAAAGCGUGGGGAGCAAACAGG
Molecule: ribosomal RNA, 253 nt
Filed under: uncultured bacterium
Lineage: Bacteria
Description: partial 16S ribosomal RNA
Rfam family: Bacterial small subunit ribosomal RNA
Source: RNAcentral